GUCUCCAUGGUGACCCGACCGACACUACAAAGUAAAUGCAAAUCUGUAGUCUUCCUUGGGACGCCGCCUAAGGCGAGGAGCUCUUGGCGAUGGAGAUGGCGACGGGGAGGCGAUGGAAUCGAGUUCUUGUCAGAUCCAGUCGACAGAUUUCCCCUGUCGGAUCUGGCCUGUGCAGAUGCGCCUCUGGCCCAUGUUGCAAGCCAAGCUUUAGUAUGCACGCCUGCUGAAUCCAGCAUUGGCGAUGCCGGGGGUGCCGCACUGGACUUACAAAUGGAGUUGAACAACACUUGCGAGGGGAUUGCUCUGUCCGCACCGGCGUCCGAGCAAUCUACAGGCGGAGACAACCCUCAAGCCCCUGGUUGGACUAAAAUGUACAAGUCCACGGCAUUUUGUUUCUCGUUCAAUCAUAGCUCUAACUGCUAAUUUCUUGUUACGAUAUUUGAAGCAUGUUUAUCAUACCGGCUGCUAUACGGCCAUGCCAUCUACUCAUGAUGGGAUUAAACAUACAUUACUGAAAAGCAUAAAUCUGUAUGAUGUAGAAUCCGUAUGGGGCGUGCACCUGAUGAACGACCCCCAUGUGCUGCCAGGAUGAGUGCGUUGGAAAUGGCAUUGCCAAGUUAUGCAGAAAAGAAAACUGAAACUGUCAUAGUUCCUGCUCUGGGAAGCAACUUCGAUACACUGGGGGAAGCCUAUGGUUACUACAAUCUAUAUUCAUGGGAGAUCGGCUUUGGAGUAAGAUAUGGCAAACGCCGGCUAAAUGUCGAAAAAGAACAAAAUGCAUGCAGGAGAUAGUUUGUGGCUGCUCUUUAAGUAAUUAUUUCACUUCACUAGCACAUAUCCCCAUCUAGGUGUGAAUACAUGUAUAACAAAAACUGAAACAUGACACUUAAACAGAAACAAAAUAAGUGCCUCCCCUGUUUCAUGUCAUUUCUACAUGACCCAAUGCUUACAUUGUAAAAAAAACUAACUAAAAUCCCUACUGCACGUAAAAAAAAAGACAAGAUCACUGCGGGCAAUGCAUGAAGGUCGAUGGUAUAUUCAUCCAAUUCUACUCCAAGGAUCCAUGAUUCCAAUUCAAAAAGUGAAGACUACUGCUUAUCAAUACAUUACCUCCGACGUCUGCAAUCGGAUCCGAUCCGUUGUGCUGCAUUUUGCUGAUAAUCACGUGCCCCCUGGCAAAGUGUUAUCGCCUGAACACCAAGAGAGGUGCAAAGCUCUUGUUAAUCAGAUUUGUGGCAAUCUAGAUGCAGCUGCUACUGUUAUGUACAAGGAGUUCACAAACAGGAUUGCCGAGGCAGAAAAUGCUCGCUUGACAAUCAACAUGUGCAUCUAGCUCCAAGCCCCUUGGUCAGCGCCAAGACAGCGCUUGUUGUUACCCAAUGUAGGCCAGCAGAGCAGAGUCGCGCACCUUCAACCCAGAGUCAUGAAGAAGCAUUAGCAGAAGCACGCAGAGGAAAAGAGAACUGCACUGGAGCCCCAGAUUCCACACCAAGAUUCAUAACACCUGAGUCAUGUUGGUUUCCAUUUGAUUGUCAUUGGCACUUGUACACACAUGCUCAAUAUUUAACCUCCACGCUUGUUGAUACAUCCCUGCAGACACAGCUUCCUCCAGAAUCACCACUUGCAAAUGCAUGCGCACACACUCUUCUCCAGCUUGCUGGAAUAGUCUCUCAAACAUGUACUUAACAACUCAUCACCACUCACGUCGUCUCAUGAUUUUUUUUUUAAAAUGAAAGAAACACCACUAUGAUCAUGUGCUCUGAAUAUCAUUCCAGCAAAGGAUCAACAACUUCAGUAUGUUGAGGAAACUCCUGAAGCUAAGCUGCCAGCACCUACCCUUCCUGGAGCCGCGCAAAACCUGAUUGCAAUAAAUGCCACCUGCCCCUUGCGCCUUGUGCUCUCUGUUUCACUAACAUGCCUUCUGACGAUGAUUCUGCACACACGGCUAUGCUGAUAUCACCCCGGUACCCACGGACACCUUACCAUUUACGGAGCCGGAAGUAUGUCACUGUCACAGAUGUCACAAAAAAGCCUACCUGGACAAUGAAGCGUCCAAGGUCAAAUGUUGUAAACAUGGUAGACCCUAAGAGACAGAAAACAUCAGAAUUACCUGCUGUUGAUCAUCUCCCUGACAUUGGAGAACGCAGAUCAGCACCUCCCUGACACUCGAGGACGCA
Triticum aestivum (bread wheat) is the source of this 2177-nucleotide long non-coding RNA. RefSeq lists it as uncharacterized. The record is from RefSeq and is a predicted model, not a curated record. The transcript is spliced from 4 exons. NCBI's taxonomy places the organism in Eukaryota, Viridiplantae, Streptophyta, Magnoliopsida, Poales, Poaceae.